Molecule: ribosomal RNA, 514 nt
Filed under: Borreliella garinii
Lineage: Bacteria; Pseudomonadati; Spirochaetota; Spirochaetia; Spirochaetales; Borreliaceae
Description: bacterial SSU rRNA
Rfam family: Bacterial small subunit ribosomal RNA
Source: RNAcentral
GGCUUAGUACUAACGCUGGCAGUGCGUCUUAAGCAUGCAAGUCAAACGGGAUGUAGCAAUACAUCUAGUGGCGAACGGGUGAGUAACGCGUGGAUGAUCUACCUACGAGAUGGGGAUAACUAUUAGAAAUAGUAGCUAAUACCGAAUAAAGUCAAUUAAUUUGUUAAUUGAUGAAAGGAAGCCUUUAAAGCUUCGCUUGUAGAUGAGUCUGCGUCUUAUUAGCUAGUUGGUAGGGUAAAUGCCUACCAAGGCGAUGAUAAGUAACCGGCCUGAGAGGGUGAACGGUCACACUGGAACUGAGAUACGGUCCAGACUCCUACGGGAGGCAGCAGCUAAGAAUCUUCCGCAAUGGGCGAAAGCCUGACGGAGCGACACUGCGUGAAUGAAGAAGGUCGAAAGAUUGUAAAAUUCUUUUAUAAAUGAGGAAUAAGCUUUGUAGGAAAUGACGAAGUGAUGACGUUAAUUUAUGAAUAAGCCCCGGCUAAUUACGUGCCAGCAGCCGCGGUAAUAGGUA